AGUGAACGCUGGCGGUAGGCCUAACACAUGCAAGUCGAACGGCAGCACAGUAAGAGCUUGCUCUUACGGGUGGCGAGUGGCGGACGGGUGAGGAAUACAUCGGAAUCUACUUUUUCGUGGGGGAUAACGUAGGGAAACUUACGCUAAUACCGCAUACGACCUACGGGUGAAAGCAGGGGAUCUUCGGACCUUGCGCGAUUGAAUGAGCCGAUGUCGGAUUAGCUAGUUGGCGGGGUAAAGGCCCACCAAGGCGACGAUCCGUAGCUGGUCUGUGAGGAUGAUCAGCCACACUGGAACUGAGACACGGUCCAGACUCCUACGGGAGGCAGCAGUGGGGAAUAUUGGACAAUGGGCGCAAGCCUGAUCCAGCCAUACCGCGUGGGUGAAGAAGGCCUUCGGGUUGUAAAGCCCUUUUGUUGGGAAAGAAAAGCAGCAGGUUAAUACCCCGCUGUUCUGACGGUACCCAAAGAAUAAGCACCGGCUAACCUCGUG
Molecule: ribosomal RNA, 492 nt
Filed under: uncultured bacterium
Lineage: Bacteria
Description: partial 16S ribosomal RNA
Rfam family: Bacterial small subunit ribosomal RNA
Source: RNAcentral